Molecule: transfer RNA, 65 nt
Filed under: Mytilus trossulus (common blue mussel)
Lineage: Eukaryota; Metazoa; Mollusca; Bivalvia; Mytilida; Mytilidae
Description: tRNA-Gly
Source: RNAcentral
UCAUAUAUAGUAAAAUCAUUAUAUUUGCCUUCCAAGCAAAAGUUCUAACAACUUUAGUGUAUGUU